GACGAACGCUGGCGGCGUGCUUAACACAUGCAAGUCGAACGGAAAGGCCCUGCUUUUGUGGGGUGCUCGAGUGGCGAACGGGUGAGUAACACGUGAGUAACCUGCCCUUGACUUUGGGAUAACUUCAGGAAACUGGGGCUAAUACCGGAUAGGAGCUCCUGCUGCAUGGUGGGGGUUGGAAAGUUUCGGCGGUUGGGGAUGGACUCGCGGCUUAUCAGCUUGUUGGUGGGGUAGUGGCUUACCAAGGCUUUGACGGGUAGCCGGCCUGAGAGGGUGACCGGCCACAUGGGGACUGAGAUACGGCCAAGACCCCUACGGGAGGCAGCAGUGGGGAAUAUUGCACAAGGGGCGGAAGCCUGAGGCAGCAACGCCGCGGGGGGGAUGAGGGCCUUGGGGUUGUAAACCGCUUUCGCCUGUGACGAAGGGUGAGUGACGGUAAUGGGUAAAGAAGCACCGGCUAACUACG
RNAcentral lists this ribosomal RNA (466 nucleotides) under uncultured bacterium. RNAcentral describes it as "partial 16S ribosomal RNA". It matches the Rfam family "Bacterial small subunit ribosomal RNA", at positions 28 to 505 of the family's 1533-position model. The record is from RNAcentral.